Molecule: ribosomal RNA, 255 nt
Filed under: uncultured Enterococcaceae bacterium
Lineage: Bacteria; Bacillati; Bacillota; Bacilli; Lactobacillales; Enterococcaceae
Description: partial 16S ribosomal RNA
Rfam family: Bacterial small subunit ribosomal RNA
Source: RNAcentral
GUGCCAGCAGCCGCGGUAAUACGUAGGUGGCAAGCGUUGUCCGGAUUUAUUGGGCGUAAAGCGAGCGCAGGCGGUUUCUUAAGUCUGAUGUGAAAGCCCCCGGCUCAACCGGGGAGGGUCAUUGGAAACUGGGAGACUUGAGUGCAGAAGAGGAGAGUGGAAUUCCAUGUGUAGCGGUGAAAUGCGUAGAUAUAUGGAGGAACACCAGUGGCGAAGGCGGCUCUCUGGUCUGUAACUGACGCUGAGGCUCGAAAG